Molecule: ribosomal RNA, 481 nt
Filed under: uncultured bacterium
Lineage: Bacteria
Description: partial 16S ribosomal RNA
Rfam family: Bacterial small subunit ribosomal RNA
Source: RNAcentral
GACGAAUGCUGGCUGCGUGCUUAACACAUGCAAGUCGAACGGUGAAGGGGAGCUUGCUCCCCGGAUCAGUGGCGAACGGGUGAGUAACACGUGGGCAACCUGCCCCUCACUCUGGGAUAACUCCGGGAAACCGGGGCUAAUACCGGAUACGACCGGGAGCGACAUCGCUCCUGGUGGAAAGAACUUCGGUGAGGGAGGGGCCCGCGGCCUAUCAGCUAGUUGGUGGGGUAACGGCCCACCAAGGCGACGACGGGUAGCCGGCCUGAGAGGGCGACCUGCCACACGGGGACUGAGACACGGCCCAGACGCCUACGGGAGGCAGCAGUGGGGAAUAUUGCGCAAUGGGCGAAAGCCUGACGCAGCGACGCAGCGUGAGGGACGAAGGCCUUCGGGUUAUAAACCUCUUUCAGCGGGGACGAAGCGAAAGUGACGGUACCCGCAGAAGAAGCACCGGCUAACUACGUGCCAGCCGCCGCCGUAA